AAAAAGAUAAGCUAAACAAGCUACUGGGUUCAUACCCCAUUUAUGAAAGUUCUAACCUUUCUCUUUUUA
Molecule: transfer RNA, 69 nt
Filed under: Cerambycidae sp. 8 KM-2017
Lineage: Eukaryota; Metazoa; Arthropoda; Insecta; Coleoptera; Cerambycidae
Description: tRNA-Met
Rfam family: tRNA
About the family: Transfer RNA (tRNA) molecules are approximately 80 nucleotides in length. Their secondary structure includes four short double-helical elements and three loops (D, anti-codon, and T loops).
Source: RNAcentral